RNAcentral lists this ribosomal RNA (253 nucleotides) under uncultured microorganism. RNAcentral's name for it is "partial 16S ribosomal RNA". It matches the Rfam family "Bacterial small subunit ribosomal RNA", at positions 524 to 776 of the family's 1533-position model. The record is from RNAcentral.
UACGGAGGGUGCAAGCGUUAAUCGGAAUUACUGGGCGUAAAGCGUACGUAGGCGGCUUGUUAAGCCAGAUGUGAAAUCCCCGGGCUCAACCUGGGAAUGGCAUUUUGAACUGGCAGGCUCGAGUUCUGAAGAGGGUGGUAGAAUUUCCAGUGUAGCGGUGAAAUGCGUAGAUAUUGGAAGGAAUACCGGUGGCGAAGGCGGCCACCUGGUCAGAAACUGACGCUGAGGUACGAAAGCGUGGGGAGCGAACGGG